This 484-nucleotide long non-coding RNA is filed under the name Homo sapiens (human). RNAcentral describes it as "non-protein coding lnc-PRSS8-1:2". The record is from RNAcentral. Lineage: Eukaryota; Metazoa; Chordata; Mammalia; Primates; Hominidae.
GUGAUGCUUGGUAACCUCAGGGGACAAGAGUGGCUGCAAAGGGCCUGGGUCCUGGCAUCUGGGGGGCUGGAGAGCAGGAUUCCUGGUUUCUGUGUGGGGAGCAGGAAGUCAGAGAGAAGGAAGUGAGGCAGCAGAAGGCGAGGAUGUAUCAGAGGAGGGAGAGGGAGGCCUGGGUGCCCUGGGGAGACGGAGGCUAGGAGGCUGGGGGAGGGAGUCAGGGAGGGCACAUACUGAGUGCGAGUCGCCAGCCUCUUCCUGCCUACCUCUGUCUUUCCAGUCAUCAGUCCCAUCCCAGGAGCCUUCCAGGACUCAGCUCUCAGUCCUACCCAGGAAGAACCUGAAGAUCUGGACUGCGGGCGCCCUGAGCCCUCGGCCCGCAUCGUGGGGGGCUCAAACGCGCAGCCGGGCACCUGGCCUUGGCAAGUGAGCCUGCACCAUGGAGGUGGCCACAUCUGCGGGGGCUCCCUCAUCGCCCCCUCCUGGG